This 910-nucleotide ribosomal RNA is filed under the name uncultured bacterium. Its description in RNAcentral is "bacterial SSU rRNA". It matches the Rfam family "Bacterial small subunit ribosomal RNA", at positions 8 to 916 of the family's 1533-position model. The record is from RNAcentral.
AGAGUUUGAUCCCGGCUCAGGAUGAACGCUAGCGGCAGGCUUAAUACAUGCAAGUCGAACAGCAGCACAGGUAGCAAUACUGGGUGGCGAGUGGCGCACGGGUGCGUAACACGUAUGCAACCUACCCUUUACUGGGGCAUAACUUUUAGAAAUGAGGGCUAAUUCCCCAUGGUAUUAUGAGAAGGCAUCUUUUUAUAAUUAAAGAUUUAUCSGUAAAGGAUGGGCAUGCGUCCCAUUAGUUAGUUGGUGAGGUAACGGCUCACCAAGGCGAUGAUGGGUAGGGGUUCUGAGAGGAUUAUCCCCCACACUGGUACUGAGACACGGACCAGACUCCUACGGGAGGCAGCAGUAAGGAAUAUUGGGCAAUGGGCGAGAGCCUGACCCAGCCAUGCCGCGUGCAGGAAGACGGCCUUAUGGGUUGUAAACUGCUUUUAUAAGGGAAUAACCUUCCGUACGAGUACGGAACUGCAUGUACCUUAUGAAUAAGCAUCGGCUAACUCCGUGCCAGCAGCCGCGGUAAUACGGAGGAUGCAAGCGUUAUCCGGAAUCAUUGGGUUUAAAGGGUGCGUAGGCGGGAUUGUAAGUCAGUGGUGAAAUUUCCGGGCUUAACCUGGGCGCUGCCAUUGAUACUGCAGUUCUUGAGUAUAGUUGAUGUUGGCGGAAUGUGUCAUGUAGCGGUGAAAUGCCUAGAUAUGACACAGAACACCGAUAGCGAAGGCAGCUGACAAAACUAUAACUGACGCUGAUGCACGAAAGCGUGGGGAGCAAACAGGAUUAGAUACCCUGGUAGUCCACGCUGUAAACGAUGAUAACUAGCUGUAGGCGAUACACAGUCUGUGGCUAAGCGAAAGCGAUAAGUUAUCCACCUGGGGAGUACGUCGGCAACGAUGAAACUCAAAGGAAUUGACGG